GCCCUAGUAACGGCGAGUGAAGCGGCAACAGCUCAAAUUUGAAAGCUAGCCUUCGGGUUCGCAUUGUAAUUUGUAGAGGAUGAUUUGGGGAAGCCGCCUGUCUAAGUUCCUUGGAACAGGACGUCAUAGAGGGUGAGAAUCCCGUAUGUGACAGGAAAUGGCACCCUAUGUAAAUCUCCUUCGACGAGUCGAGUUGUUUGGGAAUGCAGCUCUAAAUGGGAGGUAAAUUUCUUCUAAAGCUAAAUAUUGGCGAGAGACCGAUAGCGCACAAGUAGAGUGAUCGAAAGAUGAAAAGCACUUUGGAAAGAGAGUUAAAAAGCACGUGAAAUUGUUGAAAGGGAAGCGCUUGCAAUCAGACUUGUUUAAACUGUUCGGCCGGUCUUCUGACCGGUUUACUCAGUUUGGACAGGCCAGCAUCAGUUUCGGCGGCCGGAUAAAGGCUCUGGGAAUGUGGCCUCCACUUCGGUGGAGGUGUUAUAGCCCAGGGUGUAAUACGGCCAGCCGGGACUGAGGUCCGCGCUUCGGCUAGGAU
Molecule: ribosomal RNA, 532 nt
Filed under: Aureobasidium proteae
Lineage: Eukaryota; Fungi; Ascomycota; Dothideomycetes; Dothideales; Saccotheciaceae
Description: eukaryotic LSU rRNA
Rfam family: Eukaryotic large subunit ribosomal RNA
Source: RNAcentral